GUUGCUAAACCAUUUAUAAGUAAUGUCCUUAGGAUUUUCCCAUGUGGAUAAAGACUCUUGAUUGGCAAUUUUGGCCUCUGCCUACAUGUUCCUAUUAAAAUGAAGAAAGGAUUAAAAUGACUCAAUUAAAUUUUCCUGCCAAACAAAAACAUAACACCCCCCCCCAAAAAAAAAAACCCUCAAAGAUAUGCUCUGGGUAAAAUUUGCUUGAAUAUUUGAAUUUUUCACAGGUGACUUAGUAAUCAGCCAGCGUUCCAGGUCUUGUUUCUGUAACUUUGGUAUAAUCUCAUCUGGCCCGAUGACACAGAGAUGGAACAUAGCUAGAAAUUGAGAGAAGAAGAACUGAACAAGUUCAGAGACCCAUGGCCACUCACAACAGCAAAUACCCGAUACUGGAAGAGACUUUGGACACCAUUCUGGAGAUGCUGACCUACCCAGCAAACUUUCCAAAGCUUCCAGCUGCUCUCCCGUAAGUGCACUGUGAGCGUGUGGGAGGAUCUGUGCCGUGACGGUCUUGCUUUACUUGCAUUUACAUUAUUAAUGUCUUUUCCUUACGUGAAGGUGACUUUAUCUGGAAAGAAAAGAGGACUUCGAACAGGUUGUUUCCUUUGGGAUGUUGUUUAUGCCAAGGACAUGGACGCUUUUCGCAGUGAGCUAGCUCGCCUAACCAGCACUCUGCAAGCAAGCAACAGUCAUGGGGUCCUGAACAUGCCAUGUUACCAGCAUGACAUUCAUCUGUCACCCUGUACCAAUACCCCUUUCCCUGCUCAUGGCACAGUACAGCUCCCAAGCAGGUCCCUGUCUCUUAAUUCCCCCUAAACGCACAGUGUAACCCCCACAAAUGAACACUCACCCACAGCUGUUGCUAUUCUUUCCCACAUGCCAACUAUCUACCCAACAAUUUGAAAUCCAGCUGAGGCAAAGGCCAUGUCCCCUAGGUCCCCACAGCAGCCUCAACUAGUACCUGUCAAUUGAUUAGAGAUGGAGAAAACAUGUGAAUCAUGAAAACGUGCAAGAUGAUUUUAGUGUUUAACUGUAGAAGAAUAUCAAGUGAGGUGAGAAGAGCUUCGAUCUGUGUUCUAGAAAUACAUUUUUUUCUAUGUGAAUUUAAGGAUGAGAAGGAGCUAGAAUGAUGAAAUGCUGACCAUGUCAACUGAAAGAGAUCCAUUUCCCAGGGGCCGUAUUUAGGUUCUUGGAGAUGUUGGUCCAUGCCUCUGGGACCACUCUACUCUGUGGGAUUGUGCUGACCUGGAAAACAUGAAAAUGUUGGUCUUGUAAAAUCACUUUUGGCUCAAAUCAAUUCCAUAUGAGCAGAGCAGUACAAGCUCUCUUGCAGAAUUUACACCCUGAAAUGACAUAUCCCUAAUCUUUUAACAGAGAAUUGGGCAGAUGGAUCUGCUGAUGCAGUCACAAUUUUGAGUCAGGUUAUUUUAUUAAAUGGAUGAAGUAAAGUGUGCUUUCCUUUGUCUUAGGGGGAAAAAAUUCAUGUAUCGGUGCUUACUGUAUUUGCUUUAAGAGUAAUGUUGGCUUCAAUAUGAGUAACUAAGGUUAAAUUUAGAGAAAUGCUUCUAGAUGGCUUCUGACCUGAAGUAAAUUCUAUUUGAGGGCAUUUAAGUUCUCUCAAGUGGAAAUUAAAGAUGGUUGCCAGAGUAAAUGUGUAAUGUUUUAUUGGGUAUGCUAUUGGUAAAAGAUGACCAUCCCACUGUUCUUUGGUCUUCUCUCAUUUUUUAGUAUUUAAAAAAAUUUACCUCUGUAUACACAUAGAUUCAGAAAAAAAAGAGUAAUGUAAAUUAUCCAUCUUUUUCCUCAAGCAUCUUAAGCAUUUAAAAUUAUUGAGGAAAUUUUUGUUCCCACUGCCCUUUUGAGUAUUUCUCAGUAAAGUGGGAAAGCUAGAAUACUAAAAUAGAUCAUUAUUUAAAAGAUUUUAUUUAUUUAUUUAUUUAUUUAUUUAUUUAUUUAUUUAUUUAGAGAAAGAAUGUGGGAGCACAUGCAAGUGGGAGGAAGGGAAGAGGGAGAGAAUCUCAAGCGAAUUCUGCACUGAGCGCAGAGCCUGAGGUGGGGAUCAAUCUCACAAUCCUGAGAUCAUGACCUGAGCUGAAAUCAAGAGACUGAGGCUUGAUUGACCAAGCCACACAGGCACCCCUAAAAUACAUGAUUUUUUUAUUAGAGUUAGAAAAAUUAACAAGUAAUUUUCUUUGAAUUUUUACAAUGAUUUACAUUGACAAAGAGGAAAACAUGCAGGAAAGACCAUAGUCUAGAUUUCUCAAGUACUUACAGUACUUUGGUUUGACGUUUAGAGGUAAUAUGAAGUUGUGGAUUUACUUAAAGAUGUUACUCCAAAUACAAUUUACGAAACUUUUCUUGUCUCUGAUAAUAUAAUAUAAUAUUAUAUAUAUAAUAUAGUUGGUUGGAUUCUAUUUAUUUUUCACAAUGUUGUUCAGAAAUUAAGUUUAAUUUCUUGAAAGUCCCAUCACUCUAGUCUUGAAUUUUCAGGCUGUUGUCACUGUCUAUUGCCAGACACUCUCUGUGAGGGGUCCCGUGAGAGGAAUGUAAACUAGGGGUGAGCUCUAGGUCUCAUUUGCUUUUGCCUUGUUUUGAAGUUAGCAAUAGUGCUUAUUCUUUAGAUGCUUGUUGUGUACAGGGCAUGGCUCAUGUUGCAGGCUCUGAAAUAUUUUGGAAUGACGAAUUCACAGAAUUAUCAGAGGCGUCCCCAACCUUAAUUUUACAUGUCUUCAACUUUGUGUAACAGGGGAUUGGGAAAUGUUCUAUGUGUCAGUAGACACGGAAUGUUUCUUGAGGAGUCAUCCUAGUGGGAGACACACUCUCAAAAGAGGCCAUCAUUCAAAACUUUGCUCUUUUUAGAUCUUAGAGGGAAUCACCCUAGAGUCAGUUUGGGGGGACGAACUCACUGCUUCAUGUUUCACGUCAAAGUGGAAUUCUACAGCUUGAUUAUCCACUUUAUUCAUCUAACUUGGAGCCAAGUACCUUUACAUUGUUUUCAAAAGUCAUCCGAAGGGGGCAUCUGGGUGGAUCAGGGGUUGAGCAUCUGCCUUCAGCCCAGGGUGUGAUCCCGAGGUUCUGGGAUGGAAGUUCCGCAUCAGGCUUCCUGCAUGGAGCCUGCUUCUCCCUCUGCUCUGUCUCUGCCUCUCUCUGUGUCUCUCAUGAAUAAAUAAAUAAAAUCUUUAAAAAAAAAAGUCGUCCGAAAGACACAUUGAAUCACUAUCAUGGUAGUUAAAAGAACAAGCAAUGCCUCUAAAGGCGACUCAAAAAAGGUGGUUUCCAAAAAUACCUUGUGUAUAGCUGAGUGUCUGCGAUGAGGUGUCAUGUCCCACAGGACUUCUUUGGACGACCCCAUCCUACCUGGUAUGUUUGUUUUGAAGCCAGACACAUUAUUUUAUACUUGUACCUCACGUACUUAAUUUCCUAUCAUUUCUCAAUCCAGA
RNAcentral lists this long non-coding RNA (3443 nucleotides) under Canis lupus familiaris (dog). Its description in RNAcentral is "lncRNA (ENSCAFG00030015143.1)". The record is from RNAcentral. Lineage: Eukaryota; Metazoa; Chordata; Mammalia; Carnivora; Canidae.